Molecule: long non-coding RNA, 3343 nt
Filed under: Sus scrofa (pig)
Lineage: Eukaryota; Metazoa; Chordata; Mammalia; Artiodactyla; Suidae
Description: lncRNA (ENSSSCG00060004042.1)
Source: RNAcentral
UUUUUUUUCUUUCUUUUUUUUUUUUUUCUUUUCUAGGGCCACACCCAUGGCAUAUGGAGGUUCCCAGGCUAGGGAUCCGAGCUGCUUCUGCAACCUACACCACAGUUCACGGCAAUGCCAGAUCCUUAACACACUGAGCAAGGCCGGGGAUCGAACCCGCAACCUCAUGGUUCCUAGUCAGAUUCAUUAACCACUGAGCCACGACGGGAACUCCACUUUUUCUUUUAAUAAGAAAACUUUUUACAAGGUUUUAUUUCCUUUUAUGUAAAGUGAAGAUAAUAUUUGCUUACUGUGGUACAGAGGAUCAACUGAGAUUGUAUGCAUAAAUCAUUCUGAAAGCUGCUGGGACACAAAUGUUAUUCCCAGUUGUCAAAUCCUUUCACAGGUGCCUUCACCUCACAGAAUGACGAUUAUAGCCAUUUUCAGAGAGUGAUUUCCUGCUCAUUUUAAGCUCUAGGAAAUUGUGUCAUUGGAAAUAACAUGAAAAUGAAUGAAGUGGAACUUUAUACCUGGAAAUAUAGGUGCAUGCUAUGUCUACAUCAGCUGUUCUGAGUUCAUUGAAUAUUGUAAAUUCCCAUGCACUUGCUCUGUAGCUUAACUAUCGGGAUGAGUAAUAGUGGAAACAGGCUUAACAAACUACUUGGUUCUGUCAUAGUGACUGCAGUUGUAAGACCUCCAAUUAACUUGCUGUGAAACCCCAGAAAAUGGUUUUCAUUUCAGAUCUUCUCCAGAAUGUCUGUGCUAAAAAUGACAUGAUUAAUACCAGAUAGUAAAAAUUUUAAAUCCUGAAAGAGUAUUGAUGAAAAUCAAAUUUCUAACAUCCAUCUUUUUCAGUGUUGUAGUCAUGCGCAUUAACGAAUUAGUUUAGAAGAGUUUUACUCUGCUAUAAUCUGCCAAGAACAUCAUGGUUUUUGUUACACUGCAAGUGUCUAAAAAGUAUCCAAAGUAGUUAGAGCCUUAGAACAUGUAUUCCCUCUAAUACUUGCUGAUGGCAUUGACCUGAAGGACACUGACUUUAGUGACCUUUCAACAGCAGAUGAUCCUUAUCCUGUUGGAUUAUUUUUCACCUUCUAUUGCCUACAUGCCACAAACCCAUUUGAAAAGUUUUAUGAUCCAGUCUCAUUUCAGUUACAUCAUUGCACACACAUAUUUAUUCAAAACUCUGCACAUACUAAUGGGUCUGUUUUGGGAAUCCUCAGGAACUGUUAAAAAAUUGAACAAAUUAAUCCGAAUACUUCCCUUUAUUGGUAGAGUAUAGGAAGCACAUUCUGUUGGUGUUGUGGUUUGAAUAAAUGGAAAUAUUGCACUUUAGUUUAAUAUCCUGAUGGCUUUCCUAACUAAGCAUCACUGGAUUAUUUUACAAUUUAGUCUACUCAGAGAGAAUGGGAGAGUUUCUAAUCUUCAAGGAGAUUUUUUUUUUCUUUCUUGAAAGGUUAUGAUAACUAGAAUUGGUAGCUCAUAAAAAGCCCAAAUCAAUAUUGCCAUUGACUUAAUCCAUGUAAGAAGCUUAACUUCAUAGGUGACUUCUGAAAAGCUGAAACAAAACAAAAAUCAGUCUCUGGUGAAUUCCCAAGUUUAAAAUAGAGUGGAUAGAUGUUGCAGAAAAAUGCUUCUAGGCUAACAAAGAUAGAAAGGUGAAACCCUGUAAACAAUUGUAUUUCAGCAAAUAAAUUUUCAUGCUUUCUCAUUUUCAAGAAUAGUAAGAUCCAAUAUUACUAUGUUUAGUGCAAUUUUAUUUAACCAUUAAGACAACCCUGUGACAUUUAGACACACUUAAAAUCCCACUUUACAGGUGAUUAAAUUGAGACUUAGGGAGGCAAGUUACCUUUCCCAGUGUAACACAUCUAGUAAGUGGCCCAGUUAAGACUUGAACAUACAUCUGCUGGAUACUAACGGUCAUGUUCUUAAUCAAUAUAUUGUAUAUAUAAAAUCAUUCACGAGAUAUGGCAGUUGAUGUUCAAAUAGGUCAGUAAUAGAAGAUAAUACUACAUACCUACCUUUAGAAAUAUCUAUAUGGCUUUCCUAGACAUAAGGAAACACCAUGAGCUUUCUGCUCUUUAAUGUCAGGAAUCCAAAGACUAAAGCCUAUGCCAUGGCCAUCGGACAUAUUUUUUUCUUUGUCAGAAUAGCUAUCUGGGAUGAAGAUAAAAUUCUUUUUUUUAUCAUUUAUUUAUAUAUAUAUAUUUUUUCUACUGUACAGCAUGGUGACCCAGUUAUACAUACUUGUUUAUGUUCUUUUUUCUCACAUUAAGUGUUCCAUCAUAAGUGACUAGACAUAGUUCCCAGUGCUACACAGAAGGAUCCCAUUGCUAAUCCAUCCCGAAGGCAAUAGUCUGCAUCUGUUAACCCCAAGCUCCCAGUCCCUCCCACUCCCUUCCCUUCCCCCUUGGCAACCACAAGUCUAUUCUCCAAGUCCAUGAUUUUCUUUUCUGCGGAAAGGUUCCAUUGUACUGUAUAUUAGAUUCCAGAUAUAAGUGAUAUCAUAUGAUAUCUGUCUUUUUCUGACUCAGUUCACUCAGGAUGAGAGUCUCUAGUUCCAUCCAUGUUGCUGCAAAUGACAUAAUUUUGUUCUUUUUAUGGCUGAGUAGUAUUCCAUUGUGUUUAUAUACCACAUCUUCCUCAUCCAAUCAUCUGUCAAUAGACAUUUGGGUUUUUUCCAUGUCUUGGCUGUUGUGAAUAGUGCUGCAGUGAACAUGCGGGUGCAUGUGUCUUUUUUAAGGAGAGUUUUGUCCAGAUAUAUGCCCAAGAGUGGGAUUGCUGUGUCACAUGGUAGUUCUAUGUAUAGUUUUCUAAGAUACCUCCAUACUGUUCUCCAUAGUGGUUGUACCAGCUUCCAUUCCCCCCAACAGUGCAGGAGGAUUUCCUUUCUCCACAGCCCCUCCAGCACUUGUUAUUUGUGGACUUAUGAAUGAUGGCCAUUCUGACUGGUGUGAGGUGGUAUCUCAUGGUAGUUUUGAUUUGCAUUUCUCUAAUAAUCAGGGAUGUUGAGCAUUUUUUCAUGUGCCAUCUGUAUAUCUUUCUUGGAGAAAUGUCUCUUCAGGUACUUUACCUAUCUUUCAAUUGGGUUGUUGGCUUUUUUGCUGUUGAGUUGUAUAAGUUGUUUGUAUAUUUUAGAGAUUAAGUCCUUGUCAGUUGCAUCAUUUGAAACUAUGACUUUAUUCUUUCUAACAUUAUGCACUAACUACCUGAAUUAAGUGAGCCAGAUGUAAUUUACUUAUUGAUAACAAGUUUAUUCCAGGCUUUCAGUUUAACAGCCUUUCUUCUUUUUGAAAUUCAUACCAUCUGACUUUUGUGUUCUCCUUCCUUCUACCUCAUUAAAGCAGUCUAUCCAUCUUCAGACUAC